AUCUCGAAAGGGAUGCUAAUACCGCAUACGUCCUACGGGAGAAAGCAGGGGAUCACUUGUGACCUUGCGCUAAUAGAUGAGCCUAAGUCGGAUUAGCUAGUUGGUGGGGUAAAGGCCUACCAAGGCGACGAUCUGUAGCGGGUCUGAGAGGAUGAUCCGCCACACUGGGACUGAGACACGGCCCAGACUCCUACGGGAGGCAGCAGUGGGGAAUAUUGGACAAUGGGGGGAACCCUGAUCCAGCCAUGCCGCGUGUGUGAAGAAGGCCUUAUGGUUGUAAAGCACUUUAAGCGAGGAGGAGGCUCUUUUGGUUAAUACCCAAGAUGAGUGGACGUUACUCGCAGAAUAAGCACCGGCUAACUCUGUGCCAGCAGCCGCGGUAAAUACAGAGGGUGCAAGCGUUAAUCGGAUUUACUGGGCGUAAAGCGCGCGUAGGCGGCCAAUUAAGUCAAAUGUGAAAUCCCCGAGCUUAACUUGGGAAAUUGCAUUCGAUACUGGUUGGCUAGAGUGUGGGGAGAGGAUGGUAGAAUUCCAGGUGUAGCGGUGAAAUGCGUAGAGAUCUGGAGGAAUACCGAUGGGCGAAGGCAGCCAUCUGCCUAACACUGACGCUGAGGUGCGAAAGGCUGGGGAGCAAACAGGAAUAGGAUACCCUGGUAGUCCAUGCCGUAAAACGAUGCCUACCAGCCGUGGGGCCCUUUGAGGCUUUUAGUGGCGCAGCUAACGCGAUGUAGUAGACCGCCUGGGGGAGUACGGUCGCAGACUAAAAAUUCAAAAUUGAUUGGACGGGGGCCCGCACAAGCGGUGGGACCUAGGUGUUUUAAGUUCGAAUGCAACGCGAACGAACCUUUACCUGGCCUUGGAAU
This 863-nucleotide ribosomal RNA is filed under the name Acinetobacter baylyi. Its description in RNAcentral is "bacterial SSU rRNA". It matches the Rfam family "Bacterial small subunit ribosomal RNA", at positions 148 to 987 of the family's 1533-position model. Lineage: Bacteria; Pseudomonadati; Pseudomonadota; Gammaproteobacteria; Moraxellales; Moraxellaceae. The record is from RNAcentral.